Molecule: transfer RNA, 74 nt
Filed under: Thermoplasmata archaeon
Lineage: Archaea; Methanobacteriati; Thermoplasmatota; Thermoplasmata
Also listed under: 3 other names
Description: tRNA-Ile
Rfam family: tRNA
About the family: Transfer RNA (tRNA) molecules are approximately 80 nucleotides in length.
Source: RNAcentral
GGGCCAGUAGCUUAGCUUGGUGGAGCACUCGGCUGAUAACCGAGAGGUCCCCGGUUCAAAUCCGGGUUGGCCCA